AUAACGACUCUCGGCAACGGAUAUCUCGGCUCUCGCAUCGAUGAAGAACGUAGCGAACUGCGAUACUUGGUGUGAAUUGCAGAAUCCCGUGAACCAUCGAGUCUUUGAACGCAAGUUGCGCCCGAAGCCAUUCGGCCGAGGGCACGUUUGCCUGGGUGUCACA
RNAcentral lists this ribosomal RNA (163 nucleotides) under Corymbia intermedia. RNAcentral's name for it is "5.8S ribosomal RNA". It matches the Rfam family "5.8S ribosomal RNA". From Rfam's summary of the family: 5.8S ribosomal RNA (5.8S rRNA) is a component of the large subunit of the eukaryotic ribosome. RNAcentral also lists the same sequence under 11 other names. Lineage: Eukaryota; Viridiplantae; Streptophyta; Magnoliopsida; Myrtales; Myrtaceae. The record is from RNAcentral.